Molecule: transfer RNA, 73 nt
Filed under: Myxococcus sp.
Lineage: Bacteria; Pseudomonadati; Myxococcota; Myxococcia; Myxococcales; Myxococcaceae
Description: tRNA-His
Rfam family: tRNA
About the family: Transfer RNA (tRNA) molecules are approximately 80 nucleotides in length.
Source: RNAcentral
GCGGUGGUAGCUCAAUUGGUAGAGCACAGGACUGUGACUCCUGGGGUUGCCGGUUCAAGCCCGGUCCAUCGCC